AAAGCGCGCCUUUGAUAACACUGGUCCAAAGAUAACUUUGUUUUCGUAGAUGUUGUGAUCAAACCGUUACCCGCUAUGAGAACUGGAACACUAACAUGAACAAUCCUCAACCAUCUCCGCUACUGUCUGCCGCUUCAUGCGCCGACCAGAGCAUCCCAGAUUCUAACAGGAUCUGUUCACGCGCUGGCCAACUGGAGUUUAGAGAUUGAUUGCCAUUUUUUCAGAUAAAA
Molecule: unclassified non-coding RNA, 230 nt
Filed under: Hevea brasiliensis (rubber tree)
Lineage: Eukaryota; Viridiplantae; Streptophyta; Magnoliopsida; Malpighiales; Euphorbiaceae
Source: RNAcentral